UGCGGAUGUGGCGGAAUUGGUAUACGCGCACGCUUGAGGUGCGUGUGGGCUUGCCCUUGCGAGUUCGAGUCUCGCCAUCCGCAU
Molecule: transfer RNA, 84 nt
Filed under: Calothrix sp. NIES-4101
Lineage: Bacteria; Bacillati; Cyanobacteriota; Cyanophyceae; Nostocales; Calotrichaceae
Description: tRNA-Leu
Rfam family: tRNA
About the family: Transfer RNA (tRNA) molecules are approximately 80 nucleotides in length. Their secondary structure includes four short double-helical elements and three loops (D, anti-codon, and T loops).
Source: RNAcentral